GGCAGGCUAUUGUUCCGGACCGGAAGACUAGAGCAAAGGACAGAACUUGUUUACCGAAGAUGUACUUUCAUUGGCUAACCGCCUCGCGUUAACCGCUCUCAUUUGCAUAAAGUUCAGCUGAGCCCAACUUCUUGACGCGCCGCCUCUGUUCGAAUGGCCGCGCCGCCUUCCCAAGGUGCAUUGCGGAAGCGUAAACCACGCCUUGCCGCUCUACAUAGGAAAUCAAUGGGCUAUGUGCGUCGCGGUGGGCUUUGCCGCGAUAAUGGACAUGAGCCGUCAGAAGGUGCACACAGGCACAGUGCUGCAGGAGACGUUUGGGAGCACGCACCCCUGCUGGCCAGUUUGCACCUCAGAAAUGCACCUGGUGGUAUGUUGGGCUGGGUCUGCGAAAAUGUUCCCAGGGGAAACAAGGAGAAGAGGUAUGAAGAGUCUGUCUUGAUUACACAGAGACGGCGGUCUUAGCUGGCUAACGAUUCAAAAGCGCGGAGAAAAGGAUGCUGCCAAGUACAGUAGGAGUUGUUGGCCCUGUUUCAAAACUGAUUAUUUACAAGGAGGUUACAGAAUCCCUGUCUUUUUAGAGGAAUCUACAAAACAAUCCAUAAGAGCACUAUCCAUUGGCAUCCUUGAUAAAACAGUGUGUUCAUUUGAA
This is a long non-coding RNA of Alosa sapidissima (American shad), 649 nucleotides long. RefSeq lists it as uncharacterized. The transcript has 3 exons. Lineage: Eukaryota; Metazoa; Chordata; Actinopteri; Clupeiformes; Clupeidae. The record is from RefSeq and is a predicted model, not a curated record.